Molecule: non-coding RNA, 174 nt
Filed under: Clostridiales bacterium
Lineage: Bacteria; Bacillati; Bacillota; Clostridia; Eubacteriales
Description: 6S RNA
Rfam family: 6S / SsrS RNA
About the family: E. coli 6S RNA was the first non coding RNA to be sequenced, but its function was unknown until recently. It consists of 184 nucleotides that fold into an extended hairpin structure with a large single-stranded internal bulge.
Source: RNAcentral
UAUAUCCUGGGAUGUUCGAUACUCCUGUUAUUUUGAACCUACAACAUUUAUACGGGUUACCAAAUUUAUAAGUGGAUGUCAAGCCGUCUUGAACGGAAGACAAAAGUUUAUAUGAGGUUUCCCACCUAGCUAAGCUAGGAAUCAAAAUGCAGGAACCGGCAUUUUGGGUAUUAU